AAUAAUAAAUAGUUGUACUAUAAUUAUUUACAAUGAAAUGAAUAGUUUAUAAUGUUAUAUAUUAAAUAUAUUGUAUUUUUAGUUUAAAACACAUCAAAUAAUCGGUAAACUUCGAUUUGAUUCGUACUUAUGUUGUGUUGUCAUGAACUUAACCCAAAAACUUUCACUAAAUGAAUUCUUUGUAAUAAUGUCUAAUAACUUACCUCCACCACCAAAAGCCUCAGGGCCGCCAAUAUUACCUCCUGGAGCCGGUGGUCCUUUACCUCCAAAUGUAACACCUGGCUGGAAUGAUCCACCAAAUUUAUCAGCAAUUAGCAGUCCAGGACAAUCAGGACCGAAACGUCUUCUUAACAAAAGAGUACCCUUUCCAAUGAGUCCCAAUCCAAAUCCUCAAAACAAUCCUGAUCCAAUUGAUUCCAAUAUUAAUGAUUCAACUCUGACUGAAAUCACUAACAACUUUUUUCUUGCAAUUCACCACCUGCCAAAUAAUACUGCAUUAAAGAAAGAUAUGGAAAGGUUUACUACUAACUGGAAGGAUAUAUCAAACAAUCAAGAAGUAAAGGAUAUGUUACUGCAGGCUUCUCAUGCUGUGAAGAAUCAGGAUAUUGUGCAAUGUGAGAAUAUUCAUAAAAAUCUCUCACAAAUUCCAGCUGCUGGGUGGUUCACAUUAUUUUUACAUAGUAUUAUUAUGUCUUUACCUAAUAAAAUGUAAAUUUAUACUUGUAAA
Dalotia coriaria is the source of this 727-nucleotide long non-coding RNA. RefSeq lists it as uncharacterized. The record is from RefSeq and is a predicted model, not a curated record. The transcript is spliced from 2 exons. NCBI's taxonomy places the organism in Eukaryota, Metazoa, Arthropoda, Insecta, Coleoptera, Staphylinidae.